ACCCGCUGAAUUUAAGCAUAUCAGUAAGGGAGGAAAAGAAAACAACAGUGAUUCCCUCAGUAACUGCGAGUGAAGCGGGAAGAGCCCAACGUCGAAUCGCUUAUGCCUGUAAAUGGGUUGCGAUGAAUUCGCGAGCGAGUUGUGACGUAAGGAAGCAUCUCACCGAGCUGGACCGUGUCGUCAAAGUUUGCCUGGAAGGGCGCGUCAUAGAGGGUGAUAACCCCGUGUGUGGUGACAUGAGUGCUGUGAGAGGUUCAGCUCGCUUAUGUUAACGUAAAUGUGGAGGUGCUUUCCAUGAGCCGGGUUGUUUGGGAUUGCAGCCCUAAGCGGGUGGUAAACUUCACCCAAGGCUAAAUACUGGAACGAGACCGAUAGCGAACAAGUACCGUGAGGGAAAGUUGAAAAGCACUCCGAAAGGAGAGUCAAAAGCACGUGAAACCGUUAAAGGGGAAGCGGAUGAAUGGGUCGAUAAACCCCGCGUGGUUCAGCGUCAUGUGGUAUUGUGGGUAGUUGUGAGGGCUCAUGAUUGCAUUCUCAAUGUGACGCUUAUGCCAGUGCGAUGGGUGAGCCGAAACAGUCGUUGCAAGUACGGCCGAGGCAGGCUGGACGUCUAGAUGUCGUUGUCCGUUGCUUGAUCUGUUAAUAGCAGAUUUUAGCGAUGGUUCGCAAUGGCGGCUGGAUGCUUACCUGUAUGUGUGCGUGUGUGAGAACCAUUAUAAAUACAAUCUCGGCGAACUACUUGAAAGAGCGUUUGUGAUGACUGGAAAUAAGCGUCGUUGAGACGUUGCUGUACGCUCCCGCCGGUGUUUGUGCAUCGGCGUGUGGGGCAAUGUCGAAUUCAUGAUAGUGGGUGCGUCCCGUGUGUGAGACUGGCGAUACCUGUGUCGCUCGGGGUAGCAUCAGGCUUGCUUGGUGCUGCUGCGACGUUAGGUGAGACCUCGGAUGUUCCAUCUGCCGUGGGAACGCAGGCAACUGCGGUCCGCGCACUAGCCAGUGUUCACAUGUGUGUUAAUUGUGUGUAAUUGUAAAAGAUAACAUACCACACACGCAUGCCAUCGCUCGUCAUUGUCAAACGGUAUCACUAGGUGCCGGAUGACGAGCGGGGUCCUGGACGCAGCAUGAUUUGACGCACUUUUGUGUUCGGUACAGCAGAUUUUCGGCGAGAUACCAAUUCAUCCGACCCGUCUUGAAACACGGAACCAAGGAGGCCUAGCAUAAUGGCGCCGAAAGUCAAAGGGUGGAUAAAACCCCAAAAGGCCCAAGCCUAAUAGCACCACCCUGACUCUUCGAAUGGGAUGCAUAGAAGUCAGGGAUGCAGAUGCAGUGAGGCGCAAUGAAAGUGAAUGCCAGAUGUUGCUGGUUUAUUAUGGGAUCUGCUUUUGUGCGAUGCACAUCGGUCGUAGGGGUUUUGCUCACCUUUAACGAGGUGGGUGAGAUUCCGUUACGCGGCCAAAGCCAGAGCAGCGCACCAUAAACCGGUCUGCCCAUAGGUGUGGACUGAGUUAGAGCGCAUAUGCUAGAACCCGAAAGAUGGUGAACUAUUCCUGGGUAGGGCGAAGCCGGAGGAAACUCCGGUGGAGGCUCGCAGCGAUCCUGACGUGCAAAUCGGUCGUCAAACCUGGGUAUAGGGGCGAAAGACUAAUCGAACCAUCUAGUAGCUGGUUCCUUCCGAAAUAUCCCUCAGGAUCGCUGAGACUUGAAAGGCGCACACGCGCUUCACGGUAGUUUCAUCGGGUAGAGCUAAUGAUUAGAGUUAUUUGGGAGCAACAGCUCCUGAAACUAUUCUCAAACUGCCAACCGGUGAGUAGUGUCAGCUUCUUUGGCUUUCUGCUGCCUGGGUUUCGAAGCGUAGUUGUUCCUUCGGGGGCAAAUAGUGUUGUCGGAACUUGGACGGUGGUUGCUCUGCAUUAAUUGACACAGUGUACGCUAGGCGGUGUGAGGUGCGUGAAAGUGAUCUCUCACGGUAGAUGCGCUGCCCAGCUUGCACUGUGUAAGUGCGGGGUAUCAAAGAUGGGGCGAUUGAGCUGAUACAUGUAUUGUGGCUCCGGCUGCAAAGUGCCAACGUGCACUCAUCCUGCGCCGCAGGGCGUAGGGUGGCAAUGUGAAUCCAGAGUCUCAAGUGGGCUGUUUCUGGUAAGCAGAACUGGCGAUGCGGGAUGAACCGAGAGCUGGGUUAAGGUGCCCAAGUGGACGCCCAUGGACACCAUCAAGRUGUCGAUCAGUCAAGAUAGCAGGGCGGUGGCCAUGGAAGUCGGCAUCCGCUAAGGAGUGUGUAACAACUCACCUGCCGAAUCGAUCGGCCCCGAAAAUGGAUGGCGCUUAAGCGUUCCACCGAUACCCGGCCGUCGAUGUACGAAAUGACAGUGAUAUCGGCGGGUAGGAAGGCGCGACGGUUUUUGCACCAUGAUGACGCUGCUAGCUAUGGGUGGUGGGGUAAAACCUGCUUCCCAUGGUGAACCAGCGGUGCGUCGUGGUGGUAUGUGUCUGCUGAGAAGGAUGUGAGACGUGAGUCUGUCCGGAGCAGCCGUCGGUGCAGAUCUUGGUGGUAGUAGCAACUAUUCGAAUGAGAACUUUGAAGGCCGAGGUGGAGACGGGUUCCAUGUGAACAGCAUUUGCACGUGGGUCAGUCGGUCCUAAGCAGUUGCCUAACAGCAUGUUUCAGGCAAAGGGAAGAGGACGCUCGCAAGUUCGCUUUCAGGGCUGCGAAAGGGAAUCAGGUUAAUAUUCCUGGACCAGGUGGCGUGUGCUCCUCUGGUGUGUGUAGGGUCUCCCRCGAGAUCCUAUGCAUACCAGGGGACACAUAAUCGGAAAUGGCCGUGGGGACUGCAGUUGGCUGUGUUUAAAAGUGCGGCCGAUUGUUGUUUGUAUGGUUACAGUGGAUGCGCCGUGGCAGGGCUUGUUACCCGGUUGGUGCCCCAUCGUAGGUAGGUGUAAAAGCCGAUUCUACGAUGAAGGCCCUUCCUGGGUGCWGGCUCAUGUAUGGUGGUAUGCCCAUUGGCUGUGCAUUAGCUCCAGAGGUCAAGGCGGUAACGCAAACAAACUCGGAGACAUCCUUCAUGGUCCUGGAAAGAGUUAUCUUUUCUUGUUAACAGGCCAAGUGAUACGCCCCGGAAAAGAGUCAGUCUGAGAAGGGGCUGUGGGCCUGGAAGAGCAUCGCAGUUUCGGCGGUGUCCGGUGUACCAUGGUGUUAAGGAUCCUUGAAAAUCCGAGGGCGCGUAGCUCCGGCUGGGUGUUGCGUCUAAUAAGCGUGAUGCUCAGUCUGGGAUGUAGAAUUUCGCACCUGUCCGUACCGAAUCCGCAUCAGGUCUCCAAGGUUAACAGCCUCUGGCGUUGAAACAAUGUAGGUAAGGGAAGUCGGCAAAAUCGAUCCGUAACUYCGGGACAAGGAUUGGCUCUAAGGGUUGAGCCACCCGGGCCACUGGCAGAGGAGAGGUGCUCGACCCCGGUCUGGUUAGGGAGCGUGAUUGGUGCGUAAGCACUGCUUGCGCUCCCCUACUGGCUGGGAAUCGGUGCUGAUCCCUGCGUGGUUGGCCAGUGUUGCUGGCCGGUGCGCCUGUGUGCCACAGUUCGCCAGCGCCUAGUAUCUGUGCGCCGAGUUGCGUACAGUGUGCUGGCGAAUGGCAUGCGGGCUGCCGGUUAGUGUGCUGGCCCCUGGUGAAAUAGUGCAUGUGAUAAAUGUGCAUUUUAUUCGCCAAUUUGCCUCACAGCAAGUGAGUGCUGUGUGUGGGUUCGGGUCCGCUGCCACCAAGGUGGUGGCCAUGCUAGUCAUAGCCACCAAUGAGCGCUGGCAGUGUGAGGCCCGGAUUGGACACAGUGUUCGGCGGGUGGCAGAUUGAACAACCGACUUAGAACUGUCACUGACUCUGGGAAUCCGACUGUUUAAUUAAAACAAAGCAUUGCGAUGGCUGGAAACGGUGUUGAUGCAAUGUGAUUUCUGCCCAGUGCUCUGAAUGUUAAAGUGCGGAAACGCAACCAAGCUCGGGUAAACGGCAGGAGUAACUAUGACUCUGUGAAGGUAGCCAAAUGCCUCGUCAUCUAAUUAGUGACGCGCAUGAAUGGAUCAACGAGAUUCCCACUGUCCCUACCUACCAUUCAGCGAAACCACAGUCAAGGGAACGGGCUUGACUAAGACAGCGGGGAAAGAAGACCCUGUUGAGCUUGACUCUAGUUUGGCUUUGUGAGAAGACACCAGAGGUGUAGCAUAGGUGGGAGGUGUGUGAUGCGAGCAAUCGCGUGUGUGCACCGUCCUUGAAAUACCACCACUUUGGUCGUUUUUUCACUGACUUGGUGAUACAGGAAGGACCAACUAUACAGUCGGCCGCAUUCUUUUAUGCAGGCCUAGGUGUGGCGCGAGUGCUCACAUCCCACGGCGAAAACAGUUGGAUUGCAGGGCCGGUGGUGUUCACUGCCGGGGAGGCUGUGGCAGAGGUAUUCAGUUAUCUGCGCCGCGGUCGGAAUCUCCGGCAGUGCGCUCCGGGCAAAACCCUGCCUUUUGAAUGCUCGCUGUGGGGCAAAGUGUGGACACUCAAAUUAGCUGCAUCAUGGACGGCAUACAUUGUGUGCGGGCGGGUAGAGUUUAUGGUUCAUUGCUUAGUAUUCAAAGCGGGUGUUUGGGGUGUGUUAAUAGCGCAUCAGGGGCACCACGCUGACCUAUGAGGCUGGAUCGGCUGGCGCACAUAGGGGUAAAACUCGUGGCCGUGUCAGUUAGCCAGUCUCCUAGACAGCGUACCGGCUGGGCCGGUGACUGGUGUGUCGUGGGUCCGUGCUGCGUGUAAAAGCGUAGUAUGGGUUUGCGUGCACAUUGGAGCCGGAUAUCAGCUGGUGCGAUGAUUUGCCAAGGACCGAGUCAGAUGGGGAGUUUGACUGGGGCGGUACAUCCUUUACAUUCUAACGAGGAUGUCCUAAGGCGAGCUCACCGUGGACAGAAACCACGGGUAGAACAUAAGGGCAAAAGCUCGCUUGAUUCGCAUUCCCAGUACGAAUGCGAACCGUGAAAGCGUGGCCUAACGAUCCUUUACCAUACACACCUGAAAGUUUCAGGUUAGAGGUGUCAGAAAAGUUACCACAGGGAUAACUGGCUUGUGGCAGCCAAGCGUCCAUAGCGACGUUGCCGUUUGAUCCUUCGAUGUCGGCUCUUCCUAUCAUUGGGUUGCAGAAGGCCCAAAUGUUGGAUUGUUCACCCACCAACAGGGAACGUGAGCUGGGUUUAGAC
Molecule: ribosomal RNA, 5212 nt
Filed under: Sphaerospora ranae
Lineage: Eukaryota; Metazoa; Cnidaria; Myxozoa; Bivalvulida; Sphaerosporidae
Description: partial 28S large subunit ribosomal RNA
Rfam family: Eukaryotic large subunit ribosomal RNA (bases 1146-5212)
Source: RNAcentral